RNAcentral lists this ribosomal RNA (253 nucleotides) under uncultured bacterium. Its description in RNAcentral is "partial 16S ribosomal RNA". It matches the Rfam family "Bacterial small subunit ribosomal RNA", at positions 524 to 776 of the family's 1533-position model. The record is from RNAcentral.
UACGGAGGGAGCUAGCGUUGUUCGGAAUUACUGGGCGUAAAGCGCACGUAGGCGGCUUUGUAAGUUAGAGGUGAAAGCCCGGGGCUCAACUCCGGAACUGCCUUUAAGACUGCAUCGCUUGAAUCAUGGAGAGGUCAGUGGAAUUCCGAGUGUAGAGGUGAAAUUCGUAGAUAUUCGGAAGAACACCAGUGGCGAAGGCGGCUGACUGGACAUGUAUUGACGCUGAGGUGCGAAAGCGUGGGGAGCAAACAGG